This 253-nucleotide ribosomal RNA is filed under the name uncultured bacterium. RNAcentral describes it as "partial 16S ribosomal RNA". It matches the Rfam family "Bacterial small subunit ribosomal RNA", at positions 524 to 776 of the family's 1533-position model. The record is from RNAcentral.
UACGUAGGUGGCAAGCGUUGUCCGGAUUUACUGGGCGUAAAGAGCGCGCAGGCGGUCGUUCAAGUCGAGUGUGAAAGCCCCCGGCUCAACUGGGGAGGGUCACUCGAUACUGAUCGACUCGAAGGCAGAAGAGGGAAGCGGAAUUCCCGGUGUAGUGGUGAAAUGCGUAGAUAUCGGGAGGAACACCAGUGGCGAAGGCGGCUCUCUGGACCGAGACUGACGCUGAGGCGCGAAAGCGUGGGGAGCAAACAGG